UGGGGAAUAUUGGACAAUGGGCGAAAGCCUGAUCCAGCCAUGCCGCGUGUGUGAAGAAGGUCUUCGGAUUGUAAAGCACUUUAAGUUGGGAGGAAGGGCAGUAAGCGAAUACCUUGCUGUUUUGACGUUACCGACAGAAUAAGCACCGGCUAACUCUGUGCCAGCAGCCGCGGUAAUACAGAGGGUUCAAGCGUUAAUCGGAAUUACUGGGCGUAAAGCGCGCGUAGGUGGUUCGUUAAGUUGAAUGUGAAAGCCCCGGGCUCAACCUGGGAACUGCAUCCAACACUGGCGAGCUAGAGUAGGGCAGAGGGUGGUUGAAUUUCCUGUGUAGCGGUGAACUGCGUAGAUAUAGGAAGGACCACCAGUGGCGAAGGCGACCACCUGGGCUCAUACUGACACUGAGGUGCGAAAGCGUGGGGAGCAAACAGG
This 429-nucleotide ribosomal RNA is filed under the name Pseudomonadota bacterium. RNAcentral describes it as "Proteobacteria bacterium partial 16S ribosomal RNA". It matches the Rfam family "Bacterial small subunit ribosomal RNA", at positions 355 to 776 of the family's 1533-position model. Lineage: Bacteria; Pseudomonadati; Pseudomonadota. The record is from RNAcentral.